Molecule: long non-coding RNA, 2527 nt
Organism: Formica exsecta
Lineage: Eukaryota; Metazoa; Arthropoda; Insecta; Hymenoptera; Formicidae
Exons: 4
Source: RefSeq, a predicted model, not a curated record
AGAACGUCGCUGCCGAUGCAGGACAGCACCAGGACGAUCAACUGCAAUCAGAGAGAGAGAGUUUCUGUGGCUUUGUGACGAGCGGCGAAUUACAAUCCAGCAUAAUGAAGUAUCUCCGCAUCAAUACCCAUCGACUCAACGAGACGAAACGAGACUCUCGAUCGCAUCCUGGCGCUGUGGAUUUCCAAAUGGAGCAAAUCGCAGUGACCCAGAAGAUAUUUUGUGGAAGAAGAAAGGCGCGAAGAGUAUAGCGGCAAAAAUCAAUGACGACCGAGUAUCGACCAUUGAGAGACAACAAUGUCGGCACACUUUUUCGCGAGCGAAAUAAAAAACUCGCCAGCGAAAUCUGCAUGCGUUCCACUUUGAUUCAAAUAUAUGCAAUGUCAAGAGUUAAUCAAAUGCGGAAGAAAGGUACGCAAAACCGAUGAAACUCACAGCGUAGAGUCGCAUAUCUUCUGCCUUAACGCAUUAAUGAGCGAGUCCUCUUCCGCACCGUCUUCCCGCUGUCGAUUUCCUCCCUUAGCUCCGAUCUGCCUGAAGGACGUCCGUCACGUAUCCGAAGCGCGCACUACGCAACGAUACAGUGUACUACUUGAUCCCGAAACGAUACAGUUGACUUAAGCCGAAGCUCCAGUUAUCCCCACGCGAGACGGACGAUUCGAGAAGCCGGCCGUUUACACACAGCGAGCAGCCACCUACAAAAUCCCUCCAGCAUCCUCGUCCGUGUCGCUUACCUGGCAAUCUCCUGGAGGAAGCCAGGAGUGGGGCGAAGAGAGUCGUCGCUCGAAGAAGGAACCAGGUGCGGAGGGUAAAUGGGAAUUGAAAAGGGAGAUGCGCGAGCGAUAGACAUGCGCGACGCACUCCGUAGAUUUGUUUCCGCAAUUAAACGGUGGCGGAAAUUAACCCCUCGACGCCUGAAGCUAGGAAUUCCUUCUCAAAUCAAAUGGACCCUCUCCGAACUUCUUUCUUCCAGAAAAAUUAUCACACGCCAGAUAUAAUCGGUUUCCAUUGUCUUGUGUUCAACAGUAGCGAAGUCGGUAGCGGAACACGAGGUCGUGAAAGUGACAUUGGCUGCAUGUAGAGGGGACUUUAAUGACUCUCUUCUCAAUUUUCCUCUCCUUCAUUCUCAAAUAUUAUGCAUGCCAUUAUACUUACGACGCUCGAUUUCACCGGGGCAAUUAAAUUGAUUUUCGAAUAGUUUUGACAAAAAAGACUGUCCGUUGUAACGUGUCUAAAAGAAAGAUUUAGGAGCGUGAAAUAGAAAUUGUACAAGAUACACUUAUAAAAGAAAAAAACUGUCUGAAUAUAAAUUUUUGAAUUUUUGAGAUUUAUUACUAAAAUUUAAAACAAAAUUGACAGUAAGAUAAUAAUUGCAAAAAGAUUCUAUAUUUUAAGAAUAUAUUUGUAAAUGUGAUAUUUGAAUUUAAAGCAAAAUAAUAUGUAACACACACACACACACACACACACAAAACGUUAUAUGUGUAGGAAGAAGAUAUUGACAAGCAAACAAAAAUUUAGAAUCGAAGCUGUAAAUCGUUUAUGAGACGCAUUACUUUUCUCCGUUUCACUUUUGCAUGCGUGAAUUCCUUAAAUAUCUUAAAUUAGAGUAUGAGAGCCAUUCGAUAUUGUCCGGAAAAGAAAGUUUGAAUUCUCAUUAAUAACAACGGCGUUUUGUUUGUCAAAACUCUUGGAAUGUCUUUAACUUAAAUCCAUCAGACGAUCAUACAAUUCGCAACAGAUUCAGGACAGAAUUUUAUUUAUAACUUCAUAUAUGUCAUAUAAGACAGACGAAAUAAAAUAUUAAAAAGAUAUAUAUAUCAGAAUUCAUACAUAUAUUAGGAAACGAUAUUAAAAUAGAUUUCUAUUCUGAAUUUUGUCAUCGAGUUAUAAAUCGGGUAAAAUCGGGCUUUGAAAAUUAUCGGUACCCCUCAACAUUAUCAACUUCAUCAACAUUAUGAACAACCGUAAUAUGAUGUUUUCGCUACACCGUACAGCUUUCGUUUUGCCAAAGAAAGAAUCGCCAAUUCUACUCUCAUUCCUUCAUUUUCCUCUCUGGUUUUCCCCUAUCCCAUAUGCGGUAAGUUGUAUGCCACGAAAUCGGAACACGCGAAUACUAAUAUAUACCAACUUCGUUCGGUACAUGCCUACUAUUUCCCAACUUUAACCGUUAACCGGAACUGCAUACUUUUUCCGCUUAUUUUUCAUGUAAAACAGUUAUAACGAAUGAGUUAUAAUAUAGGAAAAAAGAAUAAUCAUAUUAUCGUCAACAAGUAGUAAUUAUUUUAUUGUCUUAAAACGAUAAAAAUAAAUUUUUCGACUUUUACGAAUUCCGGAAAUAUUAAUCCAUGGAGAACCCAGCCACAAAAUUCCAGACCGACAAGUACGCAAUUUUUAACUAUAUGAUAAAAAAUUGAGUAUUUAUUUAUAUAUAUUAAUGAAUACUUAUCGAACAAUUAUUUAUUAACAUAUUAAUGAUAUUCUUCUUAUACACAUAAGAAUUCAAUCCCGAUAAUCUUUUGUAUUUAAC